This 279-nucleotide ribosomal RNA is filed under the name uncultured bacterium. RNAcentral describes it as "partial 16S ribosomal RNA". It matches the Rfam family "Bacterial small subunit ribosomal RNA", at positions 506 to 784 of the family's 1533-position model. The record is from RNAcentral.
UGCCAGCCGCCGCGGUAAUACGGAGGGGGUUAGCGUUGUUCGGAAUUACUGGGCGUAAAGCGCACGUAGGCGGAUUAGUAAGUUAGGGGUGAAAUCCCGGGGCCCAACCCCGGAACUGCCCUCAAAACUGGCAGCCUUGAGGACGGAAGAGGCAAGUGGAAUACCGAGUGUAGAGGUGAAAUUCGUAGAUAUUCGGUGGAACACCAGUGGCGAAGGCGGCUUUCUGGACCGAUACUGACGCUGAGACGCGAAAGCGUGGGGAGCAAACAGGAUUAGAUA